RNAcentral lists this ribosomal RNA (427 nucleotides) under uncultured bacterium. RNAcentral's name for it is "bacterial SSU rRNA". It matches the Rfam family "Bacterial small subunit ribosomal RNA", at positions 355 to 774 of the family's 1533-position model. The record is from RNAcentral.
UGGGGAAUUUUGGACAAUGGGCGCAAGCCUGAUCCAGCAAUGCCGCGUGCAGGAUGAAGGCCUUCGGGUUGUAAACUGCUUUUGUACGGAACGAAACGGUCUUUUCUAAUACAGACGGCUAAUGACGGUACCGUAAGAAUAAGCACCGGCUAACUACGUGCCAGCAGCCUCGGUAAUACGUAGGGUGCGAGCGUUAAUCGUAAUUACUGGGCGUAAUGCGUGCGCAGGCGUUUUUGUAAGUCAGAGGUGAACUCCCCGGGCUCAACCUUGGAAUUGCCUUUGUGACUGCAAGGCUUGAGUGCGGCAGAGGGGGAUGGAAUUCGGGGUGUAGCAGUGAAAUGCGUAGAUAUGAGGAGGAACACCGAUGGCGAAGGCAGUCCCCUGGGCCUGCACUGACGGUCAUGCACGAAAGCGUGGGGAGCAAACA